AAUCCAUAGGUUAAUGAGGCGAACCGGGGGAACUGAAACAUCUAAGUACCCCGAGGAAAAGAAAUCAACCGAGAUUCCCCCAGUAGCGGCGAGCGAACGGGGAGGAGCCCAGAGCCUGAAUCAGCAUGUGUGUUAGUGGAAGCGUCUGGAAAGGCGCGCGAUACAGGGUGACAGCCCCGUACACAAAAGCGCAUGUGCUGUGAGCUCGAUGAGUAGGGCGGGACACGUGGUAUCCUGUCUGAAUAUGGGGGGACCAUCCUCCAAGGCUAAAUACUCCUGACUGACCGAUAGUGAACCAGUACCGUGAGGGAAAGGCGAAAAGAACCCCGGCGAGGGGAGUGAAAAAGAACCUGAAACCGUGUACGUACAAGCAGUGGGAGCCCCACCACUAAGCCAGUGGUGAACUCCACAUCCGCAUCCUUUGCUGAGGAUACGGUUAACGGAGCGAAAGCGACGUUCAACCGCAAAACAAGCAGAGGGGGCUUAGUGGUGGGGUGACUGCGUACCUUUUGUAUAAUGGGUCAGCGACUUAUAUUCUGUAGCAAGGUUAACCGAAUAGGGGAGCCGGAGGGAAACCGAGUCUUAAU
This 587-nucleotide ribosomal RNA is filed under the name Salmonella enterica subsp. enterica serovar Typhimurium. RNAcentral's name for it is "partial 23S ribosomal RNA". It matches the Rfam family "Bacterial large subunit ribosomal RNA", at positions 161 to 688 of the family's 2925-position model. The record is from RNAcentral. Lineage: Bacteria; Pseudomonadati; Pseudomonadota; Gammaproteobacteria; Enterobacterales; Enterobacteriaceae.